RNAcentral lists this ribosomal RNA (505 nucleotides) under uncultured bacterium. RNAcentral's name for it is "partial 16S ribosomal RNA". It matches the Rfam family "Bacterial small subunit ribosomal RNA", at positions 28 to 507 of the family's 1533-position model. The record is from RNAcentral.
GACGAACGCUGGCGGCGUGCCUAAUACAUGCAAGUAGAACGCACAGUUUAUACCGUAGCUUGCUACACCAUAAACUGUGAGUUGCGAACGGGUGAGUAACGCGUAGGUAACCUGCCUGGUAGCGGGGGAUAACUAUUGGAAACGAUAGCUAAUACCGCAUAAUAUUAAUUAUUGCAUGAUAAUUGAUUGAAAGAUGCAAUUGCAUCACUACCAGAUGGACCUGCGUUGUAUUAGCUAGUAGGUGAGGUAACGGCUCACCUAGGCGACGAUACAUAGCCGACCUGGGAGGGUGAUCGGCCACACUGGGACUGAGACACGGCCCAGACUCCUACGGGAGGCAGCAGUAGGGAAUCUUCGGCAAUGGACGAAAGUCUGACCGAGCAACGCCGCGUGAGGGAAGAAGGUUUUCGGAUCGUAAAGCUCUGUUGUAAGAGAAGAACGGGUGUGAGAGUGGAAAGUUCACACUGUGACGGUAUCUUACCAGAAAGGGACGGCUAACUACGUG